CAGUAGCCGCGGUAAUACGUAGGUCCCGAGCGUUGUCCGGAUUUAUUGGGCGUAAAGCGCGCGCAGGCGGAUCAGUCAGUCUGUCUUAAAAGUUCGGGGCUUAACCCCGUGAGGGGAUGGAAACUGCUGAUCUAGAGUAUCGGAGAGGAAAGCGGAAUUCCCAGUGUAGCGGUGAAAUGCGUAGAUAUUGGGAGGAACACCGGCGGCGAAGGCGGCUUACUGGACGACAACUGACGUUGAGGCUCGAAGGCGUGGGUAGCAAACAGGAUUAGAUACCCCAGUAGUCCCUGUCUCUUAUACA
Molecule: ribosomal RNA, 301 nt
Filed under: uncultured bacterium
Lineage: Bacteria
Description: partial 16S ribosomal RNA
Rfam family: Bacterial small subunit ribosomal RNA
Source: RNAcentral